Molecule: non-coding RNA, 31 nt
Filed under: Rattus norvegicus (Norway rat)
Lineage: Eukaryota; Metazoa; Chordata; Mammalia; Rodentia; Muridae
Source: RNAcentral
UGAACUGAGCUCGCCAAGGUAGUGAUGGCCC